ACCAAUUAUCUUUUGUUUAGUAUAAAUUGAGGUUAACGUGUAUCUACGGUAUUUCAUUUUUUUUUUUUUUAAUAUCUGUUGAGAGUAUUAAUUGACGUAUUAUCGUGCAUCUAUGAUUAUCCAUAUUUAUGUCAUGAUCUAUGGUCAUGGUGUAAAAUGACGUUUGUCGCCUUUUUAUUAUGACUCCACAAUUUUACUUGCUUUUUGGUGCUUAUUUUUAGAUUAUCGAACAAAUGAGUUCAGUUUAGCUGUACUGAAACGGCCAUGUCUACAUGGGUGUUGUCUUUUCUGGACUUAGUCUUGAUUUGCUAUUUUUGUCUUCACCUCGCAACGUAUGCAGUUAAUUUUCAACCGAUAAGUGGAAGCAACUGGAAACUUAUUUGAACAACAGACUUUCUGCCGUGGUAUUCUGGAUUUGGUUUGCUUUUUACACCUGCAAACAUUGAGAGGUUGCAGUCUACAGUUAAUUAAGAUCGACGCUGGAGAAGACAAAGAUGACCCCGUAGUUGAAA
Agrilus planipennis (emerald ash borer) is the source of this 512-nucleotide long non-coding RNA. RefSeq lists it as uncharacterized. NCBI's taxonomy places the organism in Eukaryota, Metazoa, Arthropoda, Insecta, Coleoptera, Buprestidae. The record is from RefSeq and is a predicted model, not a curated record. The transcript is spliced from 3 exons.